UACGUAGGGUGCGAGCGUUGUCCGGAUUUAUUGGGCGUAAAGAGCGUGUAGGCGGCUAGGUAGGUCCGUUGUGAAAACUCCAGGCUCAACCUGGAGACGCCACCUGAUACUGCUGUGGCUAGAGUCCGGUAGGGGAGCAUGGAAUUCCUGGUGUAGCGGUGAAAUGCGCAGAUAUCAGGAGGAACACCAGUGGCGAAGGCGGUGCUCUGGGCCGGAACUGACGCUGAGGAGCGAAAGCGUGGGGAGCAAACAGG
RNAcentral lists this ribosomal RNA (254 nucleotides) under uncultured bacterium. RNAcentral describes it as "partial 16S ribosomal RNA". It matches the Rfam family "Bacterial small subunit ribosomal RNA", at positions 524 to 776 of the family's 1533-position model. The record is from RNAcentral.